AUUCACCUGCGGGGCGCAGCAGUGGGGAAUUUUGGACAAUGGGCGCAAGCCUGAUCCAGCUAUUCCGCGUGUGGGAUGAAGGCCCUCGGGUUGUAAACCACUUUUGUAGAGAACGAAAAGACACCUUCGAAUAAAGGGUGUUGCUGACGGUACUCUAAGAAUAAGCACCGGCUAACUACGUGCCAGCAGCCGCGGUAAUACGUAGGGUGCGAGCGUUAAUCGGAAUUACUGGGCGUAAAGGGUUCGCAGGCUGUUGAGUAAGACAGAUGUGAAAUCCCCGAGCUUAACUCGGUAAUGGCAUAUGU
RNAcentral lists this ribosomal RNA (305 nucleotides) under uncultured bacterium. RNAcentral's name for it is "bacterial SSU rRNA". It matches the Rfam family "Bacterial small subunit ribosomal RNA", at positions 333 to 630 of the family's 1533-position model. The record is from RNAcentral.